AUUGAACGCUGGCGGCAUGCCUUACACAUGCAAGUCGAACGGUAACAGGUCUUCGGAUGCUGACGAGUGGCGAACGGGUGAGUAAUACAUCGGAACGUGCCUAGUAGUGGGGGAUAACUACUCGAAAGAGUGGCUAAUACCGCAUGAGAUCUACGGAUGAAAGCAGGGGAUCGCAAGCCCUUGUGCUACUAAAGCGGCGGAUGGCGGAUUAGGUAGUUGGGGGGAUAAAAGCUUACCAAGCCGACGAUCUGUAGAUGGUCUGAGAGGACGAGCAGCCACACUGGGACUGAGACACGGCCCAGACUCCUACGGGAGGCAGCAGUGGGGAAUUUUGGACAAUGGGCGCAAGCCUGAUCCAGCAAUGCCGCGUGCAGGAUGAAGGCCUUCGGGUUGUAAACUGCUUUUGUACGGAACGAAAAGCCCUGGGUUAAUACCCUGGGGUCACGACGGUACCGUAAGAAUAAGCACCGGCUAACUACGUGCCAGCCGCCGCAGUAA
RNAcentral lists this ribosomal RNA (498 nucleotides) under uncultured bacterium. RNAcentral describes it as "partial 16S ribosomal RNA". It matches the Rfam family "Bacterial small subunit ribosomal RNA", at positions 30 to 523 of the family's 1533-position model. The record is from RNAcentral.